Molecule: long non-coding RNA, 692 nt
Organism: Rosa chinensis
Lineage: Eukaryota; Viridiplantae; Streptophyta; Magnoliopsida; Rosales; Rosaceae
Exons: 4
Source: RefSeq, a predicted model, not a curated record
UUUUACCCUCCGUUUUUUCUCCUAUCGUUCUGCAAGCUUCUCAUACAUUUCUGCCCUCCCUUUUUUUCCCCCUACUGUUCUACAAGUUUCCCUAUUGUUCUACAAGCUUUUCGCAUUAGAUUGUUGCCGACGAAAUAAUCUAGAGAGAGAGAGAGAGAGAGUGUGUGUGUUUGUUCGUUUUGCAAGAAGAGAUAGACAGAUCGGUUGUUGCUGUGGUUGACAGUUGUAUGGGAGCUAGGCUCUUCGAUCUAAUCUUGUGUGUUCUGGAAGCCUACAUUGAGUGCAGCCAGAUACAAACGGUUCAUUCUACUUUUGGUUGGGUAGAGAGUGAGAGACUGUGAAAGGAGAAGAGGAGCAAUCGAUCUAGAUUCGUUUGGGUAGAGGUGCAGAGACGGAGAGAGAUUGUGGAAGGGGAAGAGCAGGAAUCGGUGUUGGUUUGGUCGGGAAGAGGUGGGUGCGAAUAUUUGGAUCCAGUGUCAGCAAAAGCAAACUUCCAGGGAAGUUUAGCACAGGCGAGAUUCCAGCCAAGAAUUGGACAAUUUAUCGAUGCUGAGAGUGAUAGGUAGACAGAUUCAUUGCAGGGCAUUCCACAGAGGUGCACUCUCUUUGUUGGGAUACAAAUGUGGCUUCGGUCAGUCAAGAGUCUGUCAGAGUGUGGUCAUUAGUCCUCUGGAAAGUGCAUUCACAAGCUC